AGAGUUUGAUCAUGGCUCAGAUUGAACGCUGGCGGCAGGCCUAACACAUGCAAGUCGAACGGUAACAUUUCUAGCUUGCUAGAAGAUGACGAGUGGCGGACGGGUGAGUAAUGCUUGGGAACUUGCCUUUGCGAGGGGGAUAACAGUUGGAAACGACUGCUAAUACCGCAUAAUGUCUUCGGACCAAACGGGGCUUCGGCUCCGGCGCAAAGAGAGGCCCAAGUGAGAUUAGCUAGUUGGUAAGGUAACGGCUUACCAAGGCGACGAUCUCUAGCUGUUCUGAGAGGAAGAUCAGCCACACUGGGACUGAGACACGGCCCAGACUCCUACGGGAGGCAGCAGUGGGGAAUAUUGCACAAUGGGGGAAACCCUGAUGCAGCCAUGCCGCGUGUGUGAAGAAGGCCUUCGGGUUGUAAAGCACUUUCAGUUGUGAGGAAAAGUUAGUAGUUAAUACCUGCUAGCCGUGACGUUAACAACAGAAGAAGCACCGGCUAACUCCGUGCCAGCAGCCGCGGUAAUACGGAGGGUGCGAGCGUUAAUCGGAAUUACUGGGCGUAAAGCGCACGCAGGCGGUUUGUUAAGCUAGAUGUGAAAGCCCCGGGCUCAACCUGGGAUGGUCAUUUAGAACUGGCAGACUAGAGUCUUGGAGAGGGGAGUGGAAUUCCAGGUGUAGCGGUGAAAUGCGUAGAUAUCUGGAGGAACAUCAGUGGCGAAGGCGACUCCCUGGCCAAAGACUGACGCUCAUGUGCGAAAGUGUGGGUAGCGAACAGGAUUAGAUACCCUGGUAGUCCACACCGUAAA
RNAcentral lists this ribosomal RNA (801 nucleotides) under uncultured bacterium. RNAcentral's name for it is "bacterial SSU rRNA". It matches the Rfam family "Bacterial small subunit ribosomal RNA", at positions 8 to 806 of the family's 1533-position model. The record is from RNAcentral.